RNAcentral lists this ribosomal RNA (382 nucleotides) under uncultured bacterium. RNAcentral's name for it is "partial 16S ribosomal RNA". It matches the Rfam family "Bacterial small subunit ribosomal RNA", at positions 338 to 734 of the family's 1533-position model. The record is from RNAcentral.
CCUACGGGAGGCAGCAGUGGGGAAUAUUGGGCAAUGGAGGAAACUCUGACCCAGCAACGCCGCGUGAAUGAUGAAGGUCUUCGGAUUGUAAAGUUCUUUUCUUAGGGAAGAAGAAAGUGACGGUACCUUAGGAAUAAGCCUCGGCUAACUACGUGCCAGCAGCCGCGGUAAUGCGUAGGAGGCGGGCGUUAUCCGGAAUGACUGGGCGUAAAGGUUGCGUAGGUUGUUUGGCAAGUUAGGAGCGUAACGCCAGGGGUCAACCUUGGAACUACUACUAAAACUGGUGGACUUGAGUGCAGGAGGGGCAAGCGGAAUGCGUGGUGUAGCGGUGGAAUGCGUAGAUAUUAGGAGGAACACCAGUGGCGAAGGCAGGUUGCUAGAC